RNAcentral lists this ribosomal RNA (445 nucleotides) under uncultured bacterium. RNAcentral describes it as "partial 16S ribosomal RNA". It matches the Rfam family "Bacterial small subunit ribosomal RNA", at positions 354 to 796 of the family's 1533-position model. The record is from RNAcentral.
GUGAGGAAUAUUGGUCAAUGGGCGAGAGUCUGAACCAGCCAAGUAGCGUGAAGGAAGAAGGAUCUAUGGUUCGUAAACUUCUUUUGCAGGGGAAUAAAGUGCGGGACGUGUCCUGUUUUGUAUGUACCCUGAGAAUAAGGAUCGGCUAACUCCGUGCCAGCAGCCGCGGUAAUACGGAGGAUCCGAGCGUUAUCCGGAUUUAUUGGGUUUAAAGGGUGCGUAGGUGGUUUGAUAAGUCAGCGGUGAAAGUUUGCAGCUUAACUGUAAAAAUGCCGUUGAAACUGUCGGACUUGAGUGUAAAUGAGGUAGGCGGAAUGCGUGGUGUAGCGGUGAAAUGCAUAGAUAUCACGCAGAACUCCGAUUGCGAAGGCAGCUUACUAAGCUACAACUGACACUGAAGCACGAAAGCGUGGGGAUCAAACAGGAUUAGAUACCCUGGUAGUCC